UACGUAGGGACCAAGCGUUGUUCGGAUUUACUGGGCGUAAAGGGCGCGUAGGCGGCGUGGUAAGUCACUUGUGAAAUCUCCGGGCUUAACUCGGAACGGCCAAGUGAAACUGUCAAGCUAGAGUGCAGAAGGGGCAAUCGGAAUUCUUGGUGUAGCGGUGAAAUGCGUAGAUAUCAAGAGGAACACCUGAGGUGAAGACGGGUUGCUGGGCUGACACUGACGCUGAGGCGCGAAAGCCAGGGGAGCAAACGGG
RNAcentral lists this ribosomal RNA (253 nucleotides) under uncultured bacterium. Its description in RNAcentral is "partial 16S ribosomal RNA". It matches the Rfam family "Bacterial small subunit ribosomal RNA", at positions 524 to 776 of the family's 1533-position model. The record is from RNAcentral.